CUGCACUUGAACACCCCCACUGCUGCACUGUGUAAAAAAAGCAUGAAACCAGAUAAACCACAGGAAUUCUUCUCGUUUUCUCAUUUGUGAUCAAAGAAAAUAACUAAAAGAGUGUCAGAAAAAUCUUCAUGUAAAUUAUGAACUUCGUCCGGAUUUUCCUCCUUUGGCCUGGUUACUCUCCACUAGUCUGUCAGAUUGCUGAUCCAUUCUUCAGCAUCCUCUACUCUGGUGAUUCCCUCUGAGUUCAUCAAGUCUUUUCUCCAGUCUGAUAGAGAAAGUACCCUGCUUAAAAGGCUUAU
Molecule: long non-coding RNA, 299 nt
Organism: Lutra lutra (Eurasian river otter)
Lineage: Eukaryota; Metazoa; Chordata; Mammalia; Carnivora; Mustelidae
Exons: 3
Source: RefSeq, a predicted model, not a curated record